CAGUCGCCGCGGUAAUACGAAGGGGGCUAGCGUUGUUCGGAUUUACUGGGCGUAAAGCGCACGUAGGCGGAUCGAUCAGUCAGGGGUGAAAUCCCAGAGCUCAACUCUGGAACUGCCUUUGAUACUGUCGAUCUGGAGUAUGGAAGAGGUGAGUGGAAUUCCGAGUGUAGAGGUGAAAUUCGUAGAUAUUCGGAGGAACACCAGUGGCGAAGGCGGCUCACUGGUCCAUUACUGACGCUGAGGUGCGAAAGCGUGGGGAGCAAACAGGAUUAGAUACCCGAGUAGUCCCUGUCUCUUAUAC
Molecule: ribosomal RNA, 301 nt
Filed under: uncultured bacterium
Lineage: Bacteria
Description: partial 16S ribosomal RNA
Rfam family: Bacterial small subunit ribosomal RNA
Source: RNAcentral